This 326-nucleotide unclassified non-coding RNA is filed under the name soil metagenome. RNAcentral's name for it is "partial contains 5.8S ribosomal RNA, internal transcribed spacer 2, and large subunit ribosomal RNA". The stretch from base 1 to 120 matches the Rfam family "5.8S ribosomal RNA", at positions 35 to 154 of the family's 154-position model. The record is from RNAcentral.
GAUGAAGAACGCAGCGAAAUGCGAUAAGUAGUGUGAAUUGCAGAAUUCAGUGAAUCAUCGAAUCUUUGAACGCACAUUGCGCCCCUUGGUAUCCCGAGGGGCAUGCCUGUUCGAGCGUCAUUUCACCACUCAAGCCUGGCUUGGUGUUGGGCGACGUCCUCUUUGGGGACGCGCCUCGAAACGCUCGGCGGCGUGGCACCGGCUUUAAGCGUAGCAGAAUCUUUCGCUUUGGAAGUCGGGGCCCCGUCUGCCGGAAGACCUGCUCGCAAGGUUGACCUCGGAUCAGGCAGGGAUACCCGCUGAACUUAAGCAUAUCAAUGCGGAGA